RNAcentral lists this small nuclear RNA (105 nucleotides) under Monodon monoceros (narwhal). The record is from RNAcentral. Lineage: Eukaryota; Metazoa; Chordata; Mammalia; Artiodactyla; Monodontidae.
GUGCUCACUUUGGCAGCACACAUAGUAAAAUUGGAACGAUACAAAAGAUUAGCAUGGCCCCUGCGCAAGGAUGAUAUGCAAAUUCGUGAAGCGUUCCAUAAUUUU